AAAAAAAAUAUUGCAAUUGACAAAACAAAACUCUUAAACCCAGUGAAAACCCGUACCACACCAAGUAGAUGAACCCAAUAUUCAUUGAAAGGCACCAAUCAUUCAUCCAAUAAUACAUCUCCUCCAUACGCUUUCCUUUAUUAUGUAGAAAUAAAGAAACCAAAAACCAUAAUUGAUGUAGAGAUAACGUAAUAUCAACGCUCAUGUAACCCUUAGCGUGGACACCACUCCUCCACCCAAACACUUGCAUCACCGUGUACCACCAUUGUAUAUGUAUUUGGUUUAAGGAGACCAAACACAUAAACAGAUCCAUGACCAAACUAACCAACAAU
Molecule: long non-coding RNA, 332 nt
Filed under: Brassica napus (rape)
Lineage: Eukaryota; Viridiplantae; Streptophyta; Magnoliopsida; Brassicales; Brassicaceae
Description: long non-coding RNA (BNAP_LNC022799)
Source: RNAcentral